Cygnus olor (mute swan) is the source of this 4010-nucleotide long non-coding RNA. RefSeq lists it as uncharacterized. The transcript is spliced from 2 exons. The record is from RefSeq and is a predicted model, not a curated record. NCBI's taxonomy places the organism in Eukaryota, Metazoa, Chordata, Aves, Anseriformes, Anatidae.
UUUCAUUUCAUUUCAUUAAAUGUGGGGAUUUUAUUUUAUUUUAUCGAACGCGGGGAUGUGCCUUCCCCACCCCUGCUCGCUCAGCCCUACAGAUGCUUACAAUUACCCGCAGAUGCAGAUGUAAAUGCAGAUUUUGCAGUUACAAUUUGUACCCCCCAAAAUUGUCCUUUUGAAGAGUUGUCUCCAAAUUUCUCUGGGCUUUCAGCACUGUAUUUAUUUAGCAAUCGACUCGCCGCCGAAGAGAGCGAGCGCUAUCCUUGCUCUGCGUCCCCUUCAGCGGGGAAGAGCUGCAGGGUGGUUAUGCAGAAAUGUGCCAGACUUGCUCGGAGGGAGCCGGGCUGGAGCAGGCACCAGGAGACCACUUCCAUCACCAGGACCGCCCCGUGGAUGAUGCUGUUCUGUCUGGGAUGGGGCUUUGGCCACGAGGGCAGGGUACGGAUGUGCCACCAGGGCUCGGUCUCCCCAACGCCACCAGUCCCGCACCAACCCCAAAGGCAGGGACGUCUGCUUUUGUGGGGGUUAGAGGUGUUUCUCCGGGUGCUUCCAAAUGGAGACAAUGAGACAAAAGACACUGCAGGAGGCCUGCAAGGAUCACAUUUAUUUAGCAGCAAAUCCUCGUCAUUUCUGUUUAAGGCAGGGUUUGUUUUUUUGCAUUCUUUCCUAAGAGCCUCAGUGAUGGUUUGAGAUGUAACAAGCGGGAUUUUGUUGCUUCAGUCAUCACGAAAAGGGUUCUGAUUUUCACUUCAAAUCUGCAAUAUCCGUUUUUUAUUACAGGUUGCUUGGUACCGCUUUCAAAACCCCGUGUGAUGUGGACAAAACCCCAGCAGCAAACCCCGCAAAGCUCCCACCAAAACGGCCCCGUCAGCCAGGGCUGCUCAAAUUCUGCCAAAUCCCUGCUACAGAAAAAGGAAAUAACUGAAAAAGUGAGAGAUUAGCCCAAGGAGGCGUGGGUCCAGGGUGGGAAAGGCUGCACGUGCUCUCGGCAGCUCUCCGUACCAGCUCACGCUCCUGGCAGCCCGUCCUCAGGCGACUCAGUGCUAUUUUAUCCAAAAUUUGACUUUUUGACUUGGCUCCUAUUAAACAGGCGUCAAAAAGACAAGAUAAAACCCAGUGGUGCCUACCCGAUGUGAUUGCUGUUGUACCUCAUCGUUCAGUUCCGCAUCUUGCAGUGCAACGGGCCGGGCUGUUUGCCCAUGGGAGCUUUUUUGGUGAGCGUGGAGGAACGGAGAGACCCAAAAGAGCACCCUUGGGUGCUGCUGCCAGGGCUGGGUGAUGGGCAAAGCCGCUGCCCCCAGGUUGGGCUGGAAGGUCUGAGUGAGGACACAGCUCGUGGUGCUCGUGCUCACCAAAACUGAGCAGAAAAUGGGAAAUGCUACUUAGGAAAGUGCUGGAAAAUAACGUUGAAGUGUUGAUGGAAAGCCUUGCUGGAAUCUCAGCAUCUGAAAGUGUUGAGCUGGUCGAAAGCAUGGGCUGAGCCCCCGCUGGCAGAGGUUUAGUGGGAAAAGCUGCUGGCUGGAGACAGGCAGCCCUGCCAGACGUCAGUCUGACGCUGUUAGAUAGCAGGGGGAAAUAAAAAAAAACACAGAACAACACUCUUUAGCAGUUACACUGCCCCCAAAGAGUCACACUUUCCUUGUCAAUCACAAAAUAUUUGCAUUUGAAAGGGUUUGCACUGGGACUGAUCCUGUGCCCUGGCAGCCAGGGCAGGUUCAGCUCCCCGGUUGAAUCCUUCCUUUGCCAGCACCAGCCUGAUAGAGGCCUUGAGGUACUUUUAGCUUCUUGUUAAAUGAAGCAAUGAAAAUAGAAGGAAGCAAAAAUCCCUGGGCCACAUCCCCAGGCUGAAAUCAUACCCGCCAUGUAUGGCCAUCAGAUUUUGCAGAUUUCCUUGCUCCAGAGACUCAAUAGCAGGAGUCUGCACGUUCCUGUGUGCAGCAUUUUGCUGUGCAACACCCAAGUGGGUGCCAGCAGGCUGUGCCCUGCCGAAUGUGGGUGCACGUCUGUGUCUAUGCCCACACUUAAAGUCCACAUUGGAUGUAGACCCCCAAGCACCAAAACACAAUAGCUGAGAAGUCAUCUCCUGCGGCAUCAGGUCUCCUUGCAUGCAGUUUGAUAGGUGUAAGGGUGGUUUUUAGCACUUUGUGGAACAAGGUGGGGCUGAAAUAGUUGGGGGGGAGGAGAUGUGUCUGCAUGGGAAGGCUGGGACCUCCUACAGCCCCUGUGUAGGGUCUCUGUACCUUCCAACCAUCCCUUCCAACAUAUUUUCCCCCUACUUACCACGCGUCUCAAACUCACGGCCAAGUCCAUCCCCUUUCACUCCCAUGACGUUGAUUGUGGUCCACACCAAGGUCCUCAAAGGAGGCUCGAGGUGUCCCCUCCCACGGGGCAGCCCCUGCUGUCCGACCACGUCCCUGUGUGCCGGGGGCUCCGUCGGUCCCAUGGCACCGCAGGAGGACAUCUCCGAGGGGCCGGUGCUCACAGCCGCAGCCGCAUCCCCUGGACCUCAUUAUUUCAUUGACAGCAGUCAAUAUCUCCCCGCAUAGGAAUGUAUUUACUUAUAGGCACAUAAGUAAUUCAUUUAUAAAAUUGAAUUAUCUGACUAGGGAGAUUGUGUGUUUUGAUUGUGUAGCAGUACUUCUGAAACCGACUUAAAAUUGAUAAAAGCCAGAUGGAAAGCGGAAACAGUCCAUUUCAUGACUCUUUAAACGUUUAAGUUGGUUAACCCUUGUACUGCACAAUUUCUGAAGCUGUGGUGUAGUGUGGAAGCAAUUUGUUGGUGAGUUCUCAGGAUGCAAAGUGGGCUGUAAGUGCUCGCCGGCUUGGGUGCCGAGGGGAAAAACGAGUCCGUGGCCUCCGGCUGCAAGGGCUCUUGUGGGAAAAACUGCUCAGGAGCAGGACAUGGCAUCCUGGAUAGCGCUGCAGCCGAGCAAUUUCUGAGAGAAGGGGCAAAAUGCCGCCAGGGGGAAGGCUCCCGAGCGGUGACGGCGGGGGUGAGCAGGGACACGGCAGAGCCAGCGCGCUCCCUGCACCGUGCUUCCCCUCGCUCCUGGCCUUUUUUUUUUUUGAGUUUGCUCUUCCCCAGGGCCAUGCGGUGCUAAAUUUCCAUUACUUCUCAAAUUGCCCAAACCUGUCCAAAAUACAUGCUGGUGGUAUUAAAAAAACGGCAUCGGAUUCCCUUAAUAAUUGAGGGAGAAUCUGACCCGAGCGGCCCAUGUCUGGUGUCUGCAGCUAGCGGGAGGGACGCCGGUGCUGGGAACAUCUGCAUCGCAUCCCGCCCUGCCCCAGCCCCGUCUCUGUUAGCAAUAUCCCCACAGGUGCUGGGCUUGGUGGUGUCCUCGCUGCUUGCCGCCCCGCCACAGACACGCCAGAGCUCUUCCCUCCGUGAGAAGCCUCUUAAAUGAGAUUGCCUUUAAUUGGUUUACAGUUCUGCUUCUGCUGUGCUCACAGAUUGGAAGAACGAAAGCUGGCCAGACCAAAAUACUUUACGAUCUUGGUUUCCAUCUAGUUAAUAUUUUCCAAGCUGGUUUCCUGUUUUCCUGUUGCCAAAAACACGUAUCGGCAAAGUGUAAAAUAGCUCACAUAGCAGAGAUCUGAAACAACCGCUUCUGCUCAGAAAAGCCCCGGCACUUUCUUUAUCAGCGGCCCGUGAUGCAAGCCUUGCUCUCCGCAGAUGGAUUCGUAUCACCACCUCAGAGCUGCAGGGACGAGGCUGCGGUUUUGGGGCCAUAAUUCAAAUACUGGGGUCUGUUUUGCUCCGAGAAAUAUUUUUCGGAUGCCAGCAAAAGGAGAAAAACGGAAAUUAUUCAAACUAACUUGGGAGUGCUCACUUUAUGAAACAAGAGCCAGCUUCUGGAAGCAAACACCUAACAGGGAGAGCGUGAAUUGUGACAGCGCGUGGAAAUAGCGAGUGCUGCCGGCCCAGCGUGGGGCGAGUUCCCGGCUGCCGCCCCGCGCUGAGGGCUCGCGGGGACGCUGAUUGACAAGGAAAACAAGAAGAGGAAGCUAUACCUUUA